UUGAGUAUCCCAAGGCGCGUGAGAGAACGCUGGUUAAGGAACUCGGCAAAUUAACACCGUAACUUCGGGAGAAGGUGUGCCCUUUGACGUGCAGGACUUUACGUCUGAAGCGUUGGGGGGUUGCAGAGAAACGGGGGUUGCGACUGUUUACUAAAAACACAGGACUCUGCGAACUCGCAAGAGGACGUAUAGGGUCUGACGCCUGCCCGGUGCUGGAAGGUUAAGGGGAGUUGUCAGCGUAAGCGAAGCAACGAACUGAAGCCCCAGUAAACGGCGGCCGUAACAAUAACGGUCCUAAGGUAGCGAAAUUCCUUGUCGGGUAAGUUCCGACCUGCACGAAUGGCGUAACGACAUCCCCACUGUCUCGACCAGCGACUCAGCGAAAUUGUAAUCGCGGUGAAGAUACCGUGUACCCGCGGCAAGACGGAAAGACCCCAUGAACCUUUACUGCAACUUGACAGUGAAGCUCGGGACAGACUGCGUAGGAUAGGUGGGAGGCUGUGAAGCCGGGAUUCUGGUCUCGGCUGAGCCAACCUUGAAAUACCACCCUGUUUGUUCUGGGCUUCUAACCCAGGCGUGUAAGCCACGCCGGGGACACUGUCUGGUGGGCAGUUUGACUGGGGCGGUCGCCUCCCAAAAAGUAACGGAGGCGCGCGACGGUUCCCUCAGGCUGAUUGGAAACCAGCCGUAGAGUGUAAUGGCAUAAGGGAGCUUGACUGUGAGACCGACAGGUCGAGCAGGUGCGAAAGCAGGUCAUAGUGAUCCGGCAGUUCUGUAUGGAAGGGCUGUCGCUCAUCGGACAAAAGGUACUCUGGGGAUAACAGGCUGAUCGCGCCUGAGAGUUCAUAUCGGCGGCGCGGUUUGGCACCUCGAUGUCGGCUCAUCGCAUCCUGGGGCUGGAGCAGGUCCCAAGGGUUUGGCUGUUCGCCAAUUAAAGCGGUACGCGAGCUGGGUUUAGAACGUCGUGAGACAGUUCGGUCCCUAUCUGCCGUGGGCGUAGGAUACUUGAGAGGGUCUAACCUAGUACGAGAGGACCUGGUUGGACGUACCUCUGGUGAUCCGGUUGUUCCGCCUGGAGCAUCGCCGGGUAGCUAUGUACGGAAUGGAUAACCACUGAAAGCAUCUAAGUGGGAAGCCAGCCUCAAGAUGAGGUAUCCCGGGGCCUUGAGCCCCCUGAAGGCCCGUCGAAGACUACGACGUAAUAGGCUGGGUGUGGAAGCGCAGCAAUGUGUGGAGCUAACCAGUACUAAUCGGCCGUGAGGCUUGACGU
This 1270-nucleotide ribosomal RNA is filed under the name metagenome. Its description in RNAcentral is "bacterial LSU rRNA". It matches the Rfam family "Bacterial large subunit ribosomal RNA", at positions 1672 to 2925 of the family's 2925-position model. The record is from RNAcentral.